UAGGGAAUCUUCCGCAAUGGACGCAAGUCUGACGGAGCAACGCCGCGUGAGUGAAGAAGGAUUUCGGUUCGUAAAACUCUGUUGUUAGAGAAGAACAGCGCAUAGAGUAACUGUUAUGCGUGUGACGGUAUCUAACCAGAAAGCCACGGCUAACUACGUGCCAGCAGCCGCGGUAAUACGUAGGUGGCAAGCGUUGUCCGGAUUUAUUGGGCGUAAAGCGAGCGCAGGCGGUCAAUUAAGUCUGAUGUGAAAGCCCCCGGCUCAACCGGGGAGGGUCAUUGGAAAGUGGUUGACUUGAGUGCAGAAGAGGAGAGUGGAAUUCCAUGUGUAGCGGUGAAAUGCGUAGAUAUAUGGAGGAACACCAGUGGCGAAGGCGACUCUCUGGUCUGUAACUGACGCUGAGGCUCGAAAGCGUGAGUAGCAAACAGG
This 429-nucleotide ribosomal RNA is filed under the name Bacteroidota bacterium. Its description in RNAcentral is "Bacteroidetes bacterium partial 16S ribosomal RNA". It matches the Rfam family "Bacterial small subunit ribosomal RNA", at positions 355 to 776 of the family's 1533-position model. The record is from RNAcentral. Lineage: Bacteria; Pseudomonadati; Bacteroidota.